RNAcentral lists this ribosomal RNA (1313 nucleotides) under uncultured Alphaproteobacteria bacterium. Its description in RNAcentral is "uncultured alpha proteobacterium 16S ribosomal RNA". It matches the Rfam family "Bacterial small subunit ribosomal RNA", at positions 33 to 1393 of the family's 1533-position model. Lineage: Bacteria; Pseudomonadati; Pseudomonadota; Alphaproteobacteria. The record is from RNAcentral.
ACGCUGGCGGCACGCCUAACACAUGCAAGUCGAACGAAGUAGCAAUACUUAGUGGCAGACGGGUGAGUAACAUGUGGGUAUCUGCCCUUUGGCCUGGAAUAACACGAGGAAACUUGUGCUAAUACCGGAUAAGUCUUUACGGAGAAAGCUUUAUGCACCAUUGGAUGAGCCUGCACUUGAUUAGUUUGUUGGUGGGGUAAUGGCCUACCAAGACUGUGAUCAAUAGCUGAUUUGAGAGGAUGAUCAGCCACAUUGGGACUGAGACACGGCCCAAACUCCUACGGGAGGCAGCAGUGGGGAAUCUUGCACAAUGGAGGAAACUCUGAUGCAGCGAUGCCGCGUGAGUGAAGAAGGCCCUUGGGUUGUAAAGCUCUUUCGUCGGGGAAGAAAAUGACUGUACCCGAAUAAGAAGGUCCGGCUAACUUCGUGCCAGCAGCCGCGGUAAUACGAAGGGACCUAGCGUAGUUCGGAAUUACUGGGCUUAAAGAGUUCGUAGGUGGUUGAAAAAGUUAGUGGUGAAAUCCCAGAGCUUAACUCUGGAACUGCCAUUAAAACUUUUCAGCUAGAGUAUGAUAGAGGAAAGCAGAAUUUCUAGUGUAGAGGUGAAAUUCGUAGAUAUUAGAAAGAAUACCAAUUGCGAAGGCAGCUUUCUGGAUCAUUACUGACACUGAGGAACGAAAGCAUGGGUAGCGAAGAGGAUUAGAUACCCUCGUAGUCCAUGCCGUAAACGAUGUGUGUUAGACGUUGGAAAUUUAUUUUCAGUGUCGCAGGGAAACCGAUAAACACACCGCCUGGGGAGUACGACCGCAAGGUUAAAACUCAAAUGAAUUGACGGGGACCCGCACAAGUAGUGGAGCAUGUGGUUUAAUUCGAAGAUACGCGCAGAACCUUACCAACACUUGACAUGUUCGUCGCGACUCUAAGAGAUUAGAGUUUUCGGUUCGGCCGGACGAAACACAGGUGCUGCAUGGCUGUCGUCAGCUCGUGUCGUGAGAUGUUGGGUUAAGUCCCGCAACGAGCGCAACCCUCACUUUUAGUUGCCAUCAUUAAGUUGGGCACUCUGAAAGAACUGCCAGUGAUAAGCUGGAGGAAGGUGGGGAUGACGUCAAGUCCUCAUGGCCCUUACGUGUUGGGCUACACACGUGCUACAAUGGUAUCUACAACAGGAAGCAAGACGGCGACGUCAAGCAAAUCCCUAAAAGAUACCUCAGUUCGGAUUGCACUCUGCAACUCGAGUGCAUGAAGCUGGAAUUACUAGUAAUCGUGGAUCAGCGUGCCACGGUGAAUGCGUUCCCGGGUCUUGUACUCACCGC